This 928-nucleotide ribosomal RNA is filed under the name Thonalmus sp. WIBF041543. RNAcentral's name for it is "SSU rRNA". The record is from RNAcentral. Lineage: Eukaryota; Metazoa; Arthropoda; Insecta; Coleoptera; Lycidae.
UGGUGAAAUUCUUGGAUCGUCGCAAGACGGACAGAAGCGAAAGCAUUUGCCAAAAACGUUUUCAUUGAUCAAGAACGAAAGUUAGAGGUUCGAAGGCGAUCAGAUACCGCCCUAGUUCUAACCAUAAACGAUGCCAGCUAGCGAUCCGCCGAAGUUCCUCCGAUGACUCGGCGGGCAGCUUCCGGGAAACCAAAGCUUUUGGGUUCCGGGGGAAGUAUGGUUGCAAAGCUGAAACUUAAAGGAAUUGACGGAAGGGCACCACCAGGAGUGGAGCCUGCGGCUUAAUUUGACUCAACACGGGAAACCUCACCAGGCCCGGACACCGGAAGGAUUGACAGAUUGAGAGCUCUUUCUUGAUUCGGUGGGUGGUGGUGCAUGGCCGUUCUUAGUUGGUGGAGCGAUUUGUCUGGUUAAUUCCGAUAACGAACGAGACUCUGGCCUGCUAACUAGGCGUAUUUCCGACAUCUCGAAGGCCCGCCGGCCUGGUGCGCUCGCGCGCCGAGUCGUGCGCGGUUUUUACUGUCGGCGUACAAACAAUUCUUCUUAGAGGGACAGGCGGCUUCUAGCCGCACGAGAUAGAGCAAUAACAGGUCUGUGAUGCCCUUAGAUGUUCUGGGCCGCACGCGCGCUACACUGAAGGAAUCAGCGUGUCCUCCCUGGCCGAGCGGCCCGGGUAACCCGCUGAACCUCCUUCGUGCUAGGGAUUGGGGCUUGCAAUUGUUCCCCAUGAACGAGGAAUUCCCAGUAAGCGCGAGUCAUAAGCUCGCGUUGAUUACGUCCCUGCCCUUUGUACACACCGCCCGUCGCUACUACCGAUUGAAUGAUUUAGUGAGGUCUUCGGACCGGCACGCGGUGGCGUUUCGACGUCGCCGAUGCUGCUGGAAAGAUGACCAAACUUGANUCAUUUAGAGGAAGUAAAAAKCUCGUA